UACGGGGGGGGCAAGCGUUGUUCGGAAUUACUGGGCGUAAAGGGCUCGUAGGUGGCCAACUAAGUCAGACGUGAAAUCCCUCAGCUUAACUGGGGAACUGCGUCUGAUACUGGAUGGCUUGAGUUUGGGAGAGGGAUGCGGAAUUCCAGGUGUAGCGGUGAAAUGCGUAGAUAUCAGGAGGAACACCGAUGGCGAAGGCAGGUCUCUGGGCCACUACUGACGCUGAGAAGCGAAAGCAUGGGGAGCGAACAGG
RNAcentral lists this ribosomal RNA (253 nucleotides) under uncultured bacterium. RNAcentral describes it as "partial 16S ribosomal RNA". It matches the Rfam family "Bacterial small subunit ribosomal RNA", at positions 524 to 776 of the family's 1533-position model. The record is from RNAcentral.